Molecule: RNA transcript, 939 nt
Organism: Homo sapiens (human)
Lineage: Eukaryota; Metazoa; Chordata; Mammalia; Primates; Hominidae
Gene: GTF2IP12
Gene name: general transcription factor IIi pseudogene 12
Exons: 2
Source: RefSeq, marked validated
AGGCGUGGGUGUUCGGCUACGUCACUGGGGCCCUACGGUGCCUGGAGCUGGGCAGUCUUCUCGUCAGAGUGGGGACUGGUAAGAGCGACCUCCCCGCCAGGUCCUGUGUGUUGCCAGCCGAAGAAGGGUAGCUGAAAAAUUCAGACCCAGCACAGUGUUUAUGUUGGUCAAAAAUAGAAAACUAUGUCUGGCGCCGCCGAGGCGGGAGGACCCUUCAGGCCAAGAGCAGCCUAGCAACAUGGCGCAACCCCAUCUCUGUAGUCCUACCUCAGCUCCCCCCAGCUGAGGGGGGCUCAGCCCCCCAGCCCUCAAGUAUGAACCCAACGGUUCAAGGCUCCAGUGAGCUAUGAUCCCAUCACAGCAUUCCAGCCUGCGAGAUUGAGGACACAAAGACCAACGAGCCACCACAGCCACCAGUCCCAGAACCCGCUAAUGCUGGGGAACGGAAAAUGAGGGAGUUCAACUCUGGCAAGUUCUCAGCGAAAUCCACGACCUUUUCCUUUAUCUUCUGGACUCUCAAUGUGACUGAUGAAAGUUACCACAUGCUCUGCAGGGGGAAAUGGUUUAGCAUGUAUUACUACAUCUUAAUCACAUCUUUGUAAAGCCAGGAGCAUUUUGAAAGUCACGUUACAGACAUUCAGACAUUGUUUAAACAUAGUCUGUAUAUACCAAAGUAUAGGACGUUGUAUCAUCUCAUAUUAAUUAGUUAGUUGGCUCAAAAUUAGUGCUAAUGACUUAGUAAUUCAGUGAUUUCUGUUAGCUUUAAAACCUUUAUUUCAGAACUAUUUCACCUCUUGGUUUUCAUUUUUGCUGUGUGUCACUGCCUGCCAGCUGCUAAUUUAUUAACUCCCAGUGAAUCACGUGUCCUGUGAAGGGACUGAAUAUUAGUGGCAAAUUAUGUUGAUGAUUUAUAUUUUGAAUAAAUAGUUUGAAUACAUA